Molecule: ribosomal RNA, 440 nt
Filed under: uncultured Staphylococcus sp.
Lineage: Bacteria; Bacillati; Bacillota; Bacilli; Caryophanales; Staphylococcaceae
Description: partial 16S ribosomal RNA
Source: RNAcentral
CACGUAGUUAGCCGUGGCUUUCUGGUUAGGUACCGUCAAGACUUGUUCAGUUACUAACAAAUUUGUUCUUCCCUAACACCAGAGUUUUACGAUCCUAAGACCUUCAUCACUCACGCGGCGUUGCUCCGUCAGGCUUUCGCCCAUUGCGGAAGAUUCCCUACUGCUGCCUCCCGUAGGAGUCUGGACCGUGUCUCAGUUCCAGUGUGGCCGAUCACCCUCUCAGGUCGGCUACGUAUCGUUGCCUUGGUAAGCCGUUACCUUACCAACUUAGCUAAUACGGCGCGGGUCCAUCUAUAAGUGACAGCCGAAACCGUCUUACAACAUUGAACCAUGCGGUUCAAUAUAUUAUCCGGUUAUUACGCCCCCGGUUUCCCGGAGUUACUCCCGUAGUUCUUAGUAGGUUACGGUUACCCACGUUGUUAACUCGACCCGUUCCGCCG